AGCAGUGUGGCUUAGUGGAUAAGAGCACGGGCCUGGGAGUCGGAGGACCUGGGUUCUAAUCCUGGCUCUGCCA
This 73-nucleotide transfer RNA is filed under the name Ornithorhynchus anatinus (platypus). It matches the Rfam family "tRNA". Rfam says of the family: Transfer RNA (tRNA) molecules are approximately 80 nucleotides in length. The record is from Rfam by way of RNAcentral. Lineage: Eukaryota; Metazoa; Chordata; Mammalia; Monotremata; Ornithorhynchidae.